This 448-nucleotide ribosomal RNA is filed under the name uncultured bacterium. RNAcentral describes it as "bacterial SSU rRNA". It matches the Rfam family "Bacterial small subunit ribosomal RNA", at positions 329 to 793 of the family's 1533-position model. The record is from RNAcentral.
UUCCAGACUCCUACGGGAGGCAGCAGUGGGGAAUAUUGCACAAUGGGGGGAACCCUGAUGCAGCGACGCCGCGUGGGUGAAGGAGUAUUUCGGUAUGUAAAGCCCUAUCAGCAGGUAAGAACAAUGACGGUACCUGACUAAGAAGCCCCGGCUAACUACGUGCCAGCAGCCGCGGUAAUACGUAGGGGGCAAGCGUUAUCCGGAUUUACUGGGUGUAAAGGGAGCGUAGACGGAUGGAUAAGUCUGAAGUGAAAGUCCGCGGCUCAACUGCGGGACUGCUUUGGAAACUGUGCAUCUUGAGUACGGGAGGGGCAGGCGGAAUUCCUGGUGUAGCGGUGAAAUGCGUAGAUAUCAGGAGGAACACCGGCGGCGAAGGCGGCCUGCUGGACCGAAACUGACGUUGAGGCUCGAAAGCGUGGGGAGCAAACAGGAUUAGAUACCCUAGUAG